CACCAAUCUCUCAGCAACUGCUAAAUUCAUCUUCUCCCUCACUACAAAGCUAUUUCAUCCUCCUAGGGCGAAUUGUAGAGCGGGGCUUAGCUUUAGUUGCAGCAAGCUUCAAGGUGAAGCUUGCUUAACCAUGGAGAAUGAGAGAGCUUUGUAGUGAGGGAAAAGAUGAAUUUAGCUUUUGCAGAGAAAUUGGUGAACGUGAUGGUUAAAUACCCCUUGAAUUUGCAGUGAUUGUUGAAUUUAUAUGGCUUGAGCUUGUAACUACUUUGGGUACCUCAGUAACUUCUAUGUUGAAGUUAGCAAAUCAAACACAUGAAAUGAGCACAAAGAUGGAGCAUUAACCAGGACCAAAUCAAAGGGCUUGACAUGGAUCGAAGAUGUGGAUCACGAAGAGAUGAACCAGACAAAGCAUAUGGAGGAACCUCGAAGUCCAAAAUGCACAAAGUUGAUAUCUCUUGAGGAUGAAGAAUAUGAGGGAAUUAAGUUUAGGAUUAGACAAUUGACUUUGGUCAAUUGGUUGAUAAAAAAGUCAACAGUUGACCAAAGUCAACUAUAGGUCCCAAUUUUGAAAUUUGUGUAAAGUUUGUAACUUGGAUCUUGAAUGUUGUAAUGAAACAUCUGAUGUAAUGUAAUUGGAAAUUUUGAAAUGAAAAAGGAUUUUGAAUGGUA
Molecule: long non-coding RNA, 669 nt
Organism: Lathyrus oleraceus (garden pea)
Lineage: Eukaryota; Viridiplantae; Streptophyta; Magnoliopsida; Fabales; Fabaceae
Exons: 3
Source: RefSeq, a predicted model, not a curated record